UACGAGGGGGGCAAGCGUUGCUCGGAAUUACUGGGCGUAAAGGGCGCGUAGGCGGCACUGUUAGUCAGGCGUGAAAGUCCUGGGCUCAACCUGGGAACUGCGCUUGAUACGGCAGAGCUAGAGGAUGGAAGAGGGUCGCGGAAUUCCCAGUGUAGAGGUGAAAUUCGUAGAUAUUGGGAAGAACACCGGUGGCGAAGGCGGCGACCUGGUCCAUUACUGACGCUGAGGCGCGACAGCGUGGGGAGCAAACAGG
This 253-nucleotide ribosomal RNA is filed under the name uncultured bacterium. RNAcentral describes it as "partial 16S ribosomal RNA". It matches the Rfam family "Bacterial small subunit ribosomal RNA", at positions 524 to 776 of the family's 1533-position model. The record is from RNAcentral.